UGGCCCGCGGUGCAUUAGCUAGUUGGUAAGGUAAAGGCGUUACCAAGGCGGAUGAUGCAUAGCCGAGUUGUAGAGACUGAUCGGCCACAUUGGGACUGAGACACGGCCCAAACUCCUACGGGAGGGCAGCAGUAGGGAAUCUUCCACAAUGGACGCAAGUCUGAUGGAGCAACGCCGCGUGAGUGAAGAAGGUUUUCGGAUCGUAAAGCUCUGUUGUUGGUGAAGAAGGAUAGAGGUAGUAACUGGCCUUUAUUUGACGGUAAUCAACCAGAAAGUCACGGCUAACUACGUGCCAGCAGCCGCGGUAAAAU
RNAcentral lists this ribosomal RNA (311 nucleotides) under uncultured Lactobacillus sp. RNAcentral describes it as "bacterial SSU rRNA". It matches the Rfam family "Bacterial small subunit ribosomal RNA", at positions 227 to 526 of the family's 1533-position model. The record is from RNAcentral. Lineage: Bacteria; Bacillati; Bacillota; Bacilli; Lactobacillales; Lactobacillaceae.